This 497-nucleotide ribosomal RNA is filed under the name uncultured bacterium. RNAcentral's name for it is "partial 16S ribosomal RNA". It matches the Rfam family "Bacterial small subunit ribosomal RNA", at positions 28 to 507 of the family's 1533-position model. The record is from RNAcentral.
GACGAACGCUGGCGGCGUGCCUAAUACAUGCAAGUUGAGCGCUGAAGGUUGGUACUUGUACCAACUGGAUGAGCAGCGAACGGGUGAGUAACGCGUGGGGAAUCUGCCUUUGAGCGGGGGACAACAUUUGGAAACGAAUGCUAAUACCGCAUAAAAACUUUAAACACAAGUUUUAAGUUUGAAAGAUGCAAUUGCAUCACUCAAAGAUGAUCCCGCGUUGUAUUAGCUAGUUGGUGAGGUAAAGGCUCACCAAGGCGAUGAUACAUAGCCGACCUGAGAGGGUGAUCGGCCACAUUGGGACUGAGACACGGCCCAAACGCCUACGGGAGGCAGCAGGAGGGAAUCUUCGGCAAUGGACGAAAGUCUGACCGAGCAACGCCGCGUGAGUGAAGAAGGUUUUCGGAUCGUAAAACUCUGUUGGUAGAGAAGAACGUUGGUGAGAGUGGAAAGCUCAUCAAGUGACGGUAACUACCCAGAAAGGGACGGCUAACUACGUG